UUUCGCAAUGCCCGAAAGGGUGACGAAGCGACGCCGCGUGUGGGAAGAAGGCCUUCGGGUUGUAAACCACUGUCGGGAGUUAAGAAAGGUGUACGGGUAAAUAGUCCGUGCAUUUGACAAAAGCUCCGGAGGAAGCCACGGCUAACUCUGUGCCAGCAGCCGCGGUAAUACAGAGGUGGCAAGCGUUGUUCGGAAUUAUUGGGCGUAAAGAGCACGUAGGCGGCCCUGCAAGUCAGCUGUGAAAGCCUCCUGCUUAACGGGAGAAGUGCAGUUGAAACUACGGGGCUAGAGUGCGGAAGGGGAGAGUGGAACUUCUGGUGGAGCGGUGAAAUGCGUAGAUAUCAGAAGGAACGCCGGCGGCGAAAGCGACUCUCUGGUCCGAAACUGACGCUGAGUGUGCGAAAGCUAGGGGAGCAAACGGGAUUAGAUACCCCGGUAGUCCUAGCCGUAAACGAUGGGCACUAAGUAGAGGGGUUUU
Molecule: ribosomal RNA, 478 nt
Filed under: uncultured Planctomycetales bacterium
Lineage: Bacteria; Pseudomonadati; Planctomycetota; Planctomycetia; Planctomycetales
Description: bacterial SSU rRNA
Rfam family: Bacterial small subunit ribosomal RNA
Source: RNAcentral